AGUCUUGUAGUGCGUGGCACGUCGAAUUGCAAAUUCGAANACNCCCCUUAAUUGUGGCCCGGACU
RNAcentral lists this transfer RNA (65 nucleotides) under Hoplodactylus duvaucelii (Duvaucel's gecko). RNAcentral describes it as "tRNA-Cys". Lineage: Eukaryota; Metazoa; Chordata; Lepidosauria; Squamata; Diplodactylidae. The record is from RNAcentral.